Molecule: transfer RNA, 60 nt
Filed under: Liposcelis sculptilimacula
Lineage: Eukaryota; Metazoa; Arthropoda; Insecta; Psocodea; Liposcelididae
Description: tRNA-Met
Source: RNAcentral
UGUUAAGAUAGGUUAAAUUUAGACCAUAGGAUUCAUACUCCUAAAGUAUCAAAUUUGUAC